ACUGAAGUAGAGAUUGGGUUU
RNAcentral lists this microRNA (21 nucleotides) under Arabidopsis thaliana (thale cress). RNAcentral's name for it is "ath-miR5656". The record is from miRBase by way of RNAcentral. Lineage: Eukaryota; Viridiplantae; Streptophyta; Magnoliopsida; Brassicales; Brassicaceae.